CAGAUUUACCUGGAGUUGGAGUUUCAUUUACACUGAAUUUUUUGUCGUGCGAUUCGGCGUUAUCUGA
This 67-nucleotide transfer RNA is filed under the name Cryptotermes secundus. RNAcentral's name for it is "tRNA-Val". Lineage: Eukaryota; Metazoa; Arthropoda; Insecta; Blattodea; Kalotermitidae. The record is from RNAcentral.